RNAcentral lists this long non-coding RNA (622 nucleotides) under Vulpes vulpes (red fox). RNAcentral's name for it is "lncRNA (ENSVVUG00000021162.1)". Lineage: Eukaryota; Metazoa; Chordata; Mammalia; Carnivora; Canidae. The record is from RNAcentral.
CCAACCUCAGAGCUUGGAUGUCAGACUUUUGCAAAGUGGACUAAAUCCACAUGCUUAAGGGUAAGGAGCAUUUCUGAAUGAAGCUGAAAAAUGUCAAGACUGGCACAGGAACCAGAGAAAUGCUGACUAUGUAUGAUACUUCCAGUGGGCAGGCUCAUGAUACAGUGAUCACUGAGAAGUGACAUGCUGUAUAUUCCCUCAGAUGUUUAAAUGGAACAUGAAAGAGAAAAACAGCAGCCUAUUCCAUCUUUCAGAAACUCUACCAUCCACUGAAACCAGGACCACAGAGAAGGGAUUCCACAAAAGGUUAUGGAAGUAUGAAGGAUUCUGGGAAGCCUCACUGGGACUCAGUACAAGAUGUCAUAUUUGAACAUUAUUUUCCGCCAUGAGCAAAGGAAAAGUGUGGUACAUGAUUCUUUCAGCAAGAAAUUAUCUGGAAGAACUAUUCAACUGUAGCCAACUACACUUAGGUCUUGGCAAUUCCAUAAGCACCACUUUGAUGUGAAGAGGUGUUUCCUGGAAGAAAGGUGUAUUUGUUUCUCUGAAGGAACAAAGACCUAUUGACAAUGUGCUAUGUGGCCCUGCUUAUUUUUUCUUAUAAUAAAACACUGCAGCAAACACA